RNAcentral lists this ribosomal RNA (716 nucleotides) under uncultured bacterium. RNAcentral's name for it is "bacterial SSU rRNA". It matches the Rfam family "Bacterial small subunit ribosomal RNA", at positions 1 to 672 of the family's 1533-position model. The record is from RNAcentral.
CUCCAAACUAUGUGACCGGCCGCGGGGAUUUCGAUUAGAGUUUGAUCCCUGGACUAAGAGAGGAGUGAGACGCGUGGGGCGGCAUGCCUUACACAUGCAAGUCGAACGGCAGCACGGAGCUUGCUCUGGUGGCGAGUGGCGAACGGGUGAGUAAUAUAUCGGAACGUACCCUAGAGUGGGGGAUAACGUAGCGAAAGUUACGCUAAUACCGCAUACGAUCUAAGGAUGAAAGUGGGGGAUCGCAAGACCUCAUGCUCGUGGAGCGGCCGAUAUCUGAUUAGCUAGUUGGUAGGGUAAAAGCCUACCAAGGCAUCGAUCAGUAGCUGGUCUGAGAGGACGACCAGCCACACUGGAACUGAGACACGGUCCAGACUCCUACGGGAGGCAGCAGUGGGGAAUUUUGGACAAUGGGCGAAAGCCUGGUCCAGCAAUGCCGCGUGAGUGAAGAAGGCCUUCGGGUUGUAAAGCUCUUUUGUCAGGGAAGAAACGGUGAGAGCUAAUAUCUCUUGCUAAUGACGGUACCUGAAGAAUAAGCACCGGCUAACUACGUGCCAGCAGCCGCGGUAAUACGUAGGGUGCAAGCGUUAAUCGGAAUUACUGGGCGUAAAGCGUGCGCAGGCGGUUUUGUAAGUCUGAUGUGAAAUCCCCGGGCUCAACCUGGGAAUUGCAUUGGAGACUGCAAGGCUAGAAUCUGGCAGAGGGGGGUAGAAUUCCAC